Triticum urartu is the source of this 1324-nucleotide long non-coding RNA. RefSeq lists it as uncharacterized. The record is from RefSeq and is a predicted model, not a curated record. NCBI's taxonomy places the organism in Eukaryota, Viridiplantae, Streptophyta, Magnoliopsida, Poales, Poaceae.
ACGAAGAUGAAAAUAUCUCCCUCGUCAGCCCCUCUCACGUCAUCCUCGAUUCCUUCCACUCCCUCGCGACCCCCGCCGCCGCCUCCUCUCCCGCUGCCGCCGCGCCAGGGCCUCGCCUCGCCCUCACUGGCCACCAGCGACCUCCAACCCUUGUUCUCCGCCUCGUCGCCAUAGCCACCUUGAGCUCGAGCAGAGGAGCGGCUCGGCAGGACAAGGGGGCAAUAGCCAGCCGCGUCUCGUCCGUGUCGCGUGGUGGCCCAGAUGCGGUCGUCCCGUGCUCUGCCUCCACGAGCGCGGCCUCGAUCCAGACUCGGCAGAAGGAGGGGAGCAGCAGCCGGCCAUGCUGUGUUGGCCGUGGAGGAGGAAGGAGCUCAUGUGGCUAGGGUUUGGCUACCCUCGUCAUCCAUCUCCUCGAUCUCUCUCUGCCUGGCCGUGGUCUGAAGGAGGAAGAAGGGACGCAGCAAAAUCGAGCGAUGCGGGCUGCAAUAGCCUAAAUAGGUGGCGGUCGAGACCACGGGAGCGGGAGCGACGGCCAUCUGCCCCCGCCCCACUCUCUUUACCUCUUCUAUGGAGAUGCUUUGCUGGGGACAUAUGAUUUCAUCCCAUUCUGUACUAUCCAUCAGGCCUCGGAUCCACGGCUUCUCCAUCUUCCUCCUCCAGCCCCUUUCUCCAUGUCGGCCAUCCAAGAUAGAGACGGCUUGGAUGACAAGGGCCAAGCAUCAGCAUGGAUGACAGCCUCCAAGAUUUAAGUGGUCAAGUAUGAAUGACGAUGCAGCCUGCAGAGUCAGGGUACCGACACCCAAAUAAAUUCAGGCCAGUCCUCGAUGUGAAGAAGCUAAGGGAGGCGGAUCCCGACCCUUAUGACAGCCAAAAUUAGGCCGCCACUCGUCUCUCUCCCGCACCUGCUCUUCAGAUGGCCAACAACACUUCGCGAGCAAUGACUGCUGUCCAGUUAAGAGCAAGAAAGAUCUUGCUGUUACUUGUCUUUUCAACAGUUCUUCUGUGUGGAAGGCACUUUGCUCACACUCAAAUACUACCUCUGAAACAUGGAAGAAGGAAAAGGUUACUCUUCUGAUCUUGAGAAUACAGUUUCAGAGAAGCUAGCAGAUGCAGAAGAAUCUCUGAAGAAGUUGAAGCAGGUUCUCUUCAAUUUGCUGUUGUGCUAGGCAUGAACAGAAUGGCUUCCUCUUCUUAUGAACCACACUGAUGUUGGCUUCCGGUUUCUGCUGCAAUGGUUUUUUUUACUAUGGACAUCGUUUCUUGAGGCUAUGUCUCUGCUAUAGGUCUCUGCAUUUCGGGGGACUAAGUCCGACGACGGGAGAUU